RNAcentral lists this ribosomal RNA (225 nucleotides) under uncultured Eubacteriales bacterium. RNAcentral's name for it is "uncultured Clostridiales bacterium partial 16S ribosomal RNA". It matches the Rfam family "Bacterial small subunit ribosomal RNA", at positions 109 to 334 of the family's 1533-position model. Lineage: Bacteria; Bacillati; Bacillota; Clostridia; Eubacteriales. The record is from RNAcentral.
AGUAACGCGUGAGCAACCUGCCUAUGACAGUGGGAUAGCCUCGGGAAACCGGGAUUAAUACCGCAUAAAAUCGUAGAAACACAUGUUUUAACGGUCAAAGAUUUAUCGGUCAUAGAUGGGCUCGCGUCUGAUUAGCUAGUUGGUGAGAUAACAGCCCACCAAGGCGACGAUCAGUAGCCGGUCUGAGAGGAUGAACGGCCACAUUGGAACUGAGACACGGUCCAA